GCCCGAGUGGUGGAAUGGCAGACACGCUAGACUUAGGAUCUAGUGCCGUAAGGUGUGCAGGUUCAAGUCCUGUCCCGGGUACCA
RNAcentral lists this transfer RNA (84 nucleotides) under Pseudomonadota bacterium. Its description in RNAcentral is "Proteobacteria bacterium tRNA-Leu". It matches the Rfam family "tRNA". From Rfam's summary of the family: Transfer RNA (tRNA) molecules are approximately 80 nucleotides in length. Their secondary structure includes four short double-helical elements and three loops (D, anti-codon, and T loops). Further hydrogen bonds mediate the characteristic L-shaped molecular structure. tRNAs have two regions of fundamental functional importance: the anti-codon, which is responsible for specific mRNA codon recognition, and the 3' end, to which the tRNAs corresponding amino acid is attached (by aminoacyl-tRNA synthetases). tRNAs cope with the degeneracy of the genetic code in two manners: having more than one tRNA (with a specific anti-codon) for a particular amino acid; and 'wobble' base-pairing, i.e. permitting non-standard base-pairing at the 3rd anti-codon position. Lineage: Bacteria; Pseudomonadati; Pseudomonadota. The record is from RNAcentral.